CGCCAACCAGCUAGCCCCCCCCAACAAAAUCAACAACCCAAUAUUUAUAACCCCUAAAUACACAAUUCAACCUAAUAAACAAAUCAUUUUACCCCCUUAGUACGGGCGACAGAAAAGGAACAUAUCGGAGCAAUAGAAAAAGUACCGCAAGGGAACGCUGAAAAAGAAGUGAAAUAACCCAGUGAAGCCUAGAAAAGCAGAGAUCCCCACUCGUACCUUUUGCAUCAUGACUUAGCUAGUAUUACCCAAGCAAAGAGCACUUUAGUUUGGGCCCCCGAAACUACGUGAGCUACUUCAAGCCAGCCUAUUAUAUAGGGCAAACCCGUCUCUGUGGCAAAAGAGUGGGAAGAGCUUUGAGUAGAGGUGACAGACCUAACGAACCUAGUUAUAGCUGGUUGCCUGAGAAUUGGAUAGGAGUUCAGCCUACAGCCUUCUCUCUUCACCAUGGUCUCACCCCUACCGACACCCGAAGAAGGCUGGAGAGUUAAUCAAAGGGGGUACAGCCCCUUUGAGACAAGACACAACUUUCCCAGGAGGGUAAAGAUCAUAAUAAUUGAAGGGCCAAAACCCACGUGGGCUUAAAAGCAGCCACCCUAUAAUUAACGCGUUAAAGCCAGGGCCUAAACCACACCCUUAGAUUUAGAUAACCAAAUCCCAUCCCCCUAAAAUUAUCAGGCCGUCUCAUGCAAACAUGAGAGUGCACAUGCUAACAUGAGUAAUAAGAGAGCCCUGUCUCUCUCCUUGCACACGUGUAAUUCGGAACGAACCCCCACCGAAAUUUAACGGCCCCAAACAAAGAGGGCAAUGAACAAAAAAUAAUCACCCAGAAGACCCCCCAAAAAAUAACCGUUAACCCCACACUGGUGUGCCCCUAAGGAAAGACUAAAAGAAAAAGAAGGAACUCGGCAAACAUUUCAAGCCUCGCCUGUUUACCAAAAACAUCGCCUCUUGCAAAAACCAAGAAUAAGAGGUCCCGUCUGCCCUGUGACUAUAUGUUCAACGGCCGCGGUAUUUUGACCGUGCGAAGGUAGCGCAAUCACUUGUCUUUUAAUUGUAGACCUGUAUGAAUGGCACAACGAGGGCUUAACUGUCUCCUUUUUCAGGUCAAUGAAAUUGAUCUCCCCGUGCAGAAGCGGGGAUUAAACCAUAAGACGAGAAGACCCUAUGGAGCUUUAGACACCAAGGCAUAUCAUGUUAAACACCCCUUAAUAAAGGGCCAAAACUUAAUGACCUAUGCCCCUAUGUCUUUGGUUGGGGCGACCACGGGGAAAUAAAAAACCCCCACGUGGAAUGGGAGCACUAAAAUCCUACUACAACCAAGAGCUGCAGCUCUAAUAAACAGAACUUCUGACCAACAAGAUCCGGCAAUGCCGAUCAACGGACCGAGUUACCCUAGGGAUAACAGCGCAAUCCCCUUUUUAGAGGCCGCAUCAACAAGGGGGUUUACGACCUCGAUGUUGGAUCAGGACAUCCUAAUGGUGCAACCGCUAUUAAGGGUUCGUUUGUUCAACGAUUAAAGUCCUACGUGAUCUGAGUUCAGACCGGAGUAAUCCAGGUCAGUUUCUAUCUAUGAUAUGUUCUUUUCUAGUACGAGAGGACCGAAAAGAAGAGGCCCAUACUUACAGUACGCCUCAUCCCCCUCUAAUGAAAACAACUAAAAAAGGCAAAAGGACAUACCCUUUCCAAGCCAAAGAUAAUGGCAAA
RNAcentral lists this ribosomal RNA (1704 nucleotides) under Aphanopus carbo (black scabbardfish). Its description in RNAcentral is "16S rRNA". It matches the Rfam family "Bacterial large subunit ribosomal RNA". The record is from RNAcentral. Lineage: Eukaryota; Metazoa; Chordata; Actinopteri; Scombriformes; Trichiuridae.